Molecule: ribosomal RNA, 459 nt
Filed under: uncultured bacterium
Lineage: Bacteria
Description: SSU rRNA
Rfam family: Bacterial small subunit ribosomal RNA
Source: RNAcentral
AGAAUCAACGCUGGCGGCGUGCCUAACACAUGCAAGUCGAACGAGAAAGUGGAGCAAUCCAUGAGUAAAGUGGCGCACGGGUGAGUAACACGUGACUAACCUACCCUUGAGUGGGGAAUAACUUCGGGAAACCGAGGCUAAUACCGCAUAACACCUACGGGUCAAAGGAGCAAUUCGCUUAAGGAGGGGGUCGCGGCAGAUUAGUUAGUUGGCGGGGUAAUGGCCCACCAAGACGGUGAUCUGUAUCCGGCCUGAGAGGGCGCACGGACACACUGGAACUGAAACACGGUCCAGACUCCUACGGGAGGCAGCAGUGGGGAAUUUUGCGCAAUGGGGGAAACCCUGACGCAGCAACGCCGCGUGGAGGAUGAAGUCCCUUGGGACGUAAACUCCUUUCGAUCGGGACGAUUAUGACGGUACCGGAAGAAGAAGCCCGGCUAACUUCGUGCCAGCAGCCGC